This 926-nucleotide ribosomal RNA is filed under the name Salmonella enterica subsp. enterica serovar Kentucky. RNAcentral describes it as "partial 23S ribosomal RNA". It matches the Rfam family "Bacterial large subunit ribosomal RNA", at positions 670 to 1596 of the family's 2925-position model. Lineage: Bacteria; Pseudomonadati; Pseudomonadota; Gammaproteobacteria; Enterobacterales; Enterobacteriaceae. The record is from RNAcentral.
AGGGAAACCGAGUCUUAACUGGGCGUUAAGUUGCAGGGUAUAGACCCGAAACCCGGUGAUCUAGCCAUGGGCAGGUUGAAGGUUGGGUAACACUAACUGGAGGACCGAACCGACUAAUGUUGAAAAAUUAGCGGAUGACUUGUGGCUGGGGGUGAAAGGCCAAUCAAACCGGGAGAUAGCUGGUUCUCCCCGAAAGCUAUUUAGGUAGCGCCUCGUGAACUCAUCUUCGGGGGUAGAGCACUGUUUCGGCUAGGGGGUCAUCCCGACUUACCAACCCGAUGCAAACUGCGAAUACCGAAGAAUGUUAUCACGGGAGACACACGGCGGGUGCUAACGUCCGUCGUGAAGAGGGAAACAACCCAGACCGCCAGCUAAGGUCCCAAAGUCACAGUUAAGUGGGAAACGAUGUGGGAAGGCUCAGACAGCCAGGAUGUUGGCUUAGAAGCAGCCAUCAUUUAAAGAAAGCGUAAUAGCUCACUGGUCGAGUCGGCCUGCGCGGAAGAUGUAACGGGGCUAAACUGUGCACCGAAGCUGCGGCAGCGACGCUUAUGCGUUGUUGGGUAGGGGAGCGUUCUGUAAGCCUGCGAAGGUGUCCUGUGAGGGAUGCUGGAGGUAUCAGAAGUGCGAAUGCUGACAUAAGUAACGAUAAUGCGGGUGAAAAGCCCGCUCGCCGGAAGACCAAGGGUUCCUGUCCAACGUUAAUCGGGGCAGGGUGAGUCGACCCCUAAGGCGAGGCCGAAAGGCGUAGUCGAUGGGAAACGGGUUAAUAUUCCCGUACUUGGUGUUACUGCGAAGGGGGGACGGAGAAGGCUAUGUUGGCCGGGCGACGGUUGUCCCGGUUUAAGCGUGUAGGCUGGUUUUCCAGGCAAAUCCGGAAAAUCAAGGCUGAGGCGUGAUGACGAGGCACUACGGUGCUGAAGCAACAA